RNAcentral lists this transfer RNA (68 nucleotides) under Ictidomys tridecemlineatus (thirteen-lined ground squirrel). RNAcentral describes it as "Spermophilus tridecemlineatus (thirteen-lined ground squirrel) tRNA". It matches the Rfam family "tRNA". Rfam says of the family: Transfer RNA (tRNA) molecules are approximately 80 nucleotides in length. The record is from Rfam by way of RNAcentral. Lineage: Eukaryota; Metazoa; Chordata; Mammalia; Rodentia; Sciuridae.
GGGGUUGUGACUCAGUGGUAGAGCGCUUGCCUAGCAUGUAAGGGGUCUGUGUUCGAUCCUCAGCACCA